UGCUUUUAGUAAAUAGCCGCAGUAUUUUGACUGUGCUAAGGUAGCAUAAUCAUUAGUCUUUUAAUUGAAGGCUGGUAUGAAUGGUGAGACGAGAAAAUUGCUGUCUCUUUUAAAUAAAAUUGAAUUUCAUUUCUGAGUGAAAAAGCUAAGAUAUUUUUGAAGGACGAUCAGACCCUUUGGAGCUUUAUUUAUUUUUUAUAAUAAAUUAAUUUUUAAUGAUUGUUUUAGAGAAUGAAUUUUGUUGGGGCGACAAAGAGUACAAAAUAACACUCUUUUUAUUGAACAAAAAUAAUUGAAUAGUUGAUCCCUAGAGAAGGAUUAAAAGACUAAGUUACCCUAGGGAUAACAGCGUAAUCUUUUUGGAGAGUUCUUAUCGAUAAAAAGGUUUGCGACCUCGAUGUUGGAUUAAGAAAUUAGCAGGGUGUAGAAGUUUUGCUGGAAAGUCUGUUCGACUUUUAAUAUCUUACAU
This 469-nucleotide ribosomal RNA is filed under the name Ceriodaphnia cornuta-rigaudi complex sp. CeCo_Et_AAK M-1511_01. Its description in RNAcentral is "partial 16S ribosomal RNA". It matches the Rfam family "Bacterial large subunit ribosomal RNA", at positions 1915 to 2601 of the family's 2925-position model. The record is from RNAcentral. Lineage: Eukaryota; Metazoa; Arthropoda; Branchiopoda; Diplostraca; Daphniidae.